GAGGGUAUAGCUCAGUGGUAGAGUGUGUUGGUAGAGUGUGUGCUUAGCAUGCGCAAGGUCCUGGGUUCAAUCCCCAGUACCUCCA
This 85-nucleotide transfer RNA is filed under the name Camelus ferus (Wild Bactrian camel). It matches the Rfam family "tRNA". Rfam says of the family: Transfer RNA (tRNA) molecules are approximately 80 nucleotides in length. Their secondary structure includes four short double-helical elements and three loops (D, anti-codon, and T loops). Further hydrogen bonds mediate the characteristic L-shaped molecular structure. tRNAs have two regions of fundamental functional importance: the anti-codon, which is responsible for specific mRNA codon recognition, and the 3' end, to which the tRNAs corresponding amino acid is attached (by aminoacyl-tRNA synthetases). tRNAs cope with the degeneracy of the genetic code in two manners: having more than one tRNA (with a specific anti-codon) for a particular amino acid; and 'wobble' base-pairing, i.e. permitting non-standard base-pairing at the 3rd anti-codon position. Lineage: Eukaryota; Metazoa; Chordata; Mammalia; Artiodactyla; Camelidae. The record is from Rfam by way of RNAcentral.